This 639-nucleotide long non-coding RNA is filed under the name Capra hircus (goat). Its description in RNAcentral is "lncRNA (ENSCHIG00000001810.1)". Lineage: Eukaryota; Metazoa; Chordata; Mammalia; Artiodactyla; Bovidae. The record is from RNAcentral.
AUGGCAGCAAAGAAAGGAACUUCUCGUCUCCUUUCCUUCACAUUCCAGAAGAGGGGGUCACAUUCCAGAACUGAGUCUCAUUCCUGGGGUUCUAGAGGCAGAGCAGGUGACAGAGGGGGAGGAAAUGGCACUCAACACACAAGUAGCCAGAGGAGGAAGAAGUAUCUCUGGUGUUGGAGGAGGCACGCCAAGGCAGAUUUCCGGGAAGAUAUCACUAUGCACUUAAGAAAUAAGGAAUUAUACUUCACCUACUUGAAGGUGGUGUAUCUACUGCUGCUGCUGCUAAGUCACUUCAGCCAUGUCCGACUCUGUGCGACCCCAUAGACGGCAGCCCACCAGGCUCCACCAUCCCUGGGAUUCUCCAGGCAAGAACACUGGAGUAGGUUGCCAUUUCCUUCUCCAAUGCAUGAAAGUGAAAAGUGAAAGUGAAUUCUCUCAGUCAUGUCCGACUCUUCACGACCCCACGGACUGCAGCCUACCAGGCUCCUCCGUCCAUGGGAUUUUCCAGGGAAGAGUACUGGAGUGGGUUGCCAUUGCCUUCUGAGUGUAUCUACAUAUAUUAUUUAGAAUUUUUCUGCUUAAGAGGUUUGUCUAUUCUCCCUUACAUAUUUAUUUAUUGGAUCAUUUAUUUAUAUCAGA